RNAcentral lists this ribosomal RNA (598 nucleotides) under Phenoliferia psychrophenolica. RNAcentral describes it as "eukaryotic LSU rRNA". It matches the Rfam family "Eukaryotic large subunit ribosomal RNA", at positions 72 to 667 of the family's 3401-position model. The record is from RNAcentral. Lineage: Eukaryota; Fungi; Basidiomycota; Microbotryomycetes; Kriegeriales; Kriegeriaceae.
GGAUUCCCCUAGUAACGGCGAGUGAAGCGGGAAGAGCUCAAAUUUGUAAUCUGGCACCUUCGGUGUCCGAGUUGUAAUCUCGAGAAGUGUUUUCCGCGCCGGACCGCAUACAAGUCUGUUGGAAUACAGCGUCAUAGUGGUGAGAACCCCGUAACUGAUGCGGAUGCCCGGUGCUUUGUGAUACACUUUCGAAGAGUCGAGUUGUUUGGGAAUGCAGCUCAAAUUGGGUGGUAAAUUCCAUCUAAAGCUAAAUAUUGGCGAGAGACCGAUAGCGAACAAGUACCGUGAGGGAAAGAUGAAAAGCACUUUGGAAAGAGAGUUAACAGUACGUGAAAUUGUUGGAAGGGAAACGCUUGAAGUCAGACUUGCUAUUUGGAAUUCAGCCGCAAGGUGUACUUUUCAAUUCGCAGGCCAGCAUCAGUUUUCGGGGGUGGAAAAGGGUAGAGAGAAGGUAGCAAUUUCGGUUGUGUUAUAGCUCUUUGCUGGAUUCAUCCUUGGGGACUGAGGAACGCAGCACGCUUUUUGCAAGGCUCUCGAGCUUUUCGUGCUUAGGAUGCUGGUGGAAUGGCUUUAAACGACCCGUCUUGAAACACGGAAC